GAUGAACGCUGGCGGCGUGCCUAAUACAUGCAAGUCGAGCGAACAGAUAAGGAGCUUGCUCCUUUGACGUUAGCGGCGGACGGGUGAGUAACACGUGGGUAACCUACCUAUAGGACUGGGAUAACUUCGGGAAACCGGAGCUAAUACCGGAUAACAUUUGGAACCGCAUGGUUCUAAAGUGAAAGAUGGUUUUGCUAUCACUUAUAGAUGGACCCGCGCCGUAUUAGCUAGUUGGUAAGGUAACGGCUUACCAAGGCGACGAUACGUAGCCGACCUGAGAGGGUGAUCGGCCACACUGGAACUGAGACACGGUCCAGACUCCCACGGGAGGCAGCAGUAGGGAAUCUUCCGCAAUGGGCGAAAGCCUGACGGAGCAACGCCGCGUGAGUGAUGAAGGGUUUCGGCUCGUAAAACUCUGUUAUUAGGGAAGAACAAACGUGUAAGUAACUGUGCACGUCUUGACGGUGCCUAAUCAGAAAGCCACGGCUAACUACGUG
This 497-nucleotide ribosomal RNA is filed under the name uncultured bacterium. RNAcentral's name for it is "partial 16S ribosomal RNA". It matches the Rfam family "Bacterial small subunit ribosomal RNA", at positions 28 to 507 of the family's 1533-position model. The record is from RNAcentral.